This 861-nucleotide ribosomal RNA is filed under the name Triticum aestivum (bread wheat). Its description in RNAcentral is "partial small subunit ribosomal RNA". Lineage: Eukaryota; Viridiplantae; Streptophyta; Magnoliopsida; Poales; Poaceae. The record is from RNAcentral.
GAGGAUGAAGGGGAUGACGAGGAGGAGGUGGCCGAGAUAGGGGAGGAGGCAUUCGCCGCCGCUUCCCGCCCACACGCACGGUCGACAAACUACACGGAGGCGGAAGAUAUCCUCUUGGUUCAUGCUUGGGCAGCUGUGGGGAUGGAUGCAAGCACCGGCACCGAUCAAACCGGUAAACGGUAUUGGCAAAGGAUCGAGGACACCUAUUGUAGGACCAAGCCAAUGAAUAGUGGGUUCAUCUCUCGCACUUACCGGUCGCUUCAAGGCCGAUGGGAGUUGAUGAAGCCCGCUUGUGCUCGUUGGAGUGUGGCCAUGGACCAAGUGAGGGAUGCACCGCCUAGUGAAACCGUGGAGAGUGACUAUGAGACAAUUGCCGGCAUGAGGUACAAGGAGAUGGCCGCUUCCAAGGGAAAGCCAUUCCCACUUAAGCAUGCUUGGGCAAUUCUUCAAACCUUUGACAAGUGGAAGUUGAGGGAUCAAGAGACCGCACCCAAUAAGUCGACAAUGCUUACGAUGGAUGAUAGUGAAGAUGAGGGAAGGAACGAGCACAAGCCCGCUGGAACCAAGAAGGAUAAGCUAAGGGUGAAGAUGGAAGGAGAGGCGUCAAGCCUAAGGGAGAAGAUAGAGCACAUGAUGAAGGCAAGAGAGGAAUUGACAACAAAGACAUUGGAGACGAAGCUUCUUAUCACCGAGAAGAAGAAAGAGGUCAAGCUUCCACAAGUUGAAGCGAAGCGUGAAGAAGCAAAGCGCAAGGCCGACUUGGAGGAGAGGAUGAUCAAGCUCAAAGAGGCAAAGGUAUGGAAAGAACUCAUGGUGGAAGAGAAGGAGAACAUGAUGAUGUCCAAGAAGGACAUGGAUUAA